GCCAGGGGAAGACGCGCCAGAGGGGGGCGCCAGGGGAAGAUGCGCCAGAGGGGGGCGCCAGGGGAAGACGCGCCAGAGGGGGGCGCCAGGGGAAGACGCGCCAGAGGGGGGCGCCAGGGGAAGACGCGCCAGAGGGGGGCGCCAGGGGAAGACGCGCCAGAGGGGGGCGCCAGGGGAAGACGCGCCAGAGGGAGCAGUAUAUAUGGUGUGCCAACAGAUGCGAACGUGACCACCAUCCUGAAAAUAUAAAAAAAAUUAAUACUGGAGCACUCCCAAAAAGUUCAGUCAUGAUUUCCUUUCAGUUUGACUUUUAACCCUUGAGAAAAAUCCAAGUAAGAGGACUGAAAUGACGCAUGGGUAGAUAAAGGACACAGUCAUUGAACUUUUUGGGAGUGCUGCAGUAUUCAUUUUUAGAUCCAUACACAGAACAAUAUGAAAUUGAUAGAUUCAAAGAUUGGUAGAACAAAUAUAAAUACAAAAAAAACACAUCCCCUACAUGAGGUCACCUUUAAAUGCAUAAAGCCACAUCUAAGGAGGUUUACUGCGGUCUAACUGGACCACAGAAGACAUCAGUGACAUGGCGCCCGCAGUCUUUAGGUCACAUCAGUCAUUAACGACACGCGGAGCUCCUCUGGAAAGCGUUAAGAACAUAAUACUAGAAGAGCACAUGAAGGGUUUGAGGGAUGAACCACCGAGGGCAUUAAAUGGAGGCAGGCAGGUGGAGGGGAGCCUAUUACCGCUGUUAUCUGGCUGUAGUGACAGCUUCUUGACCCAUUUCAUGCAGCACACGCCAUAUCACAGAGCAGAGUCGGCUUACAGCAGUAACUAGGUCAUAUCAUUACUGCCGGGGGAGAAGAUUUUUUUUUUUCCCCUUAAUUUUAUCUGUAGGUCUUAUAUAAAGUAAGAAGUGGCAAAAAAAGAAAAAAAGAUAAAAAAGUUAUGUGUUAAGUGGUGAGAAGGGUAAAAAAUGCCUAUUCUGAAGCCCUCCUGCUGCGGCCAUGUGAGAGCACAUACACUUCACAGAGCAGAGUCAUCCUUUACACCAUCUGUUGCUUUCUACAGGGACCCGACUACCACUCCUGUUGUCUCUUCAAAAAUAUGCUCAUUAAUAGUGUCAGAACAGGUUCUCCUUUGAUGAUUGUGGUAGAAUACUGGUCGUUAUCUGACAUAUAGCUUCUUUUGAGCUUCUCAUAUGACUGUAUCAUUAGAUAUGUUCCCCUUGGUAAGUGGUAUGGUGAAGACAUGGUGGAAAUCCACCUUCCUCCAAGGACUCCAAUUUUGCUCUGCUAACCCAGGCAUCUCCGAGGUCACCAGGCUUUCUGCCACCAGCAACUCUGAGGUCACCAGACUCUCAUCCACAAGAACCACCAAGGUCACCAGGCUCUCAUCCACAAGCACCUCCUAGGUCACCAAGCUCUCAUCCACAAGCACCUCCUAGGUCACCAGGCUCUCAUUAGCCAUUACCUUCUAGGUCACCAGGCUCUCAUCCACUAUCACCUCCGAGGUAACCGGGGCUUUCAUCGAGAUGAUCGGGGCUCACAUCCACUAUCACGCCUGAGAUCAACCAGGCUCUCAUCCACUAUCACUUCUGAGGUCACGGGGCCUUCAUCCACUAUCACCUCUGACGUCACUGGACUCUCAGCCACUAGCACCUCCAAAGGCUCCCCAAGCACCACCAAGGCAAUCAGGGCCUCCCUAAGGACCUUCAAGGCAGUCGGGGCUCCUAAGCACCUUCAAGGCAGUCGGCGGGUCCUAGGCACCUUCAAGGGCAGUCGGGGCUCCCAAGCACCUCAAGGGCAGUCGGGGCUCCUAAGCACCUCCAAGGCACACGGGGCUCCUAAGCACCUCCAAGACAGUCAGGGCU
Bufo bufo (common toad) is the source of this 1864-nucleotide long non-coding RNA. RefSeq lists it as uncharacterized. NCBI's taxonomy places the organism in Eukaryota, Metazoa, Chordata, Amphibia, Anura, Bufonidae. The record is from RefSeq and is a predicted model, not a curated record. The transcript is spliced from 3 exons.